ACCGAGGGGAAUGCCACCUCCGCCUUCUCACCUCAACUUGGGAGAGCCCAGCCAAUCCGUUGUGCUGCUGGGCUCUGCUGCAAAGGACAGAGCUUUCAAAUUAAGGCCAUGAAAGGACAGGACACCAGGCCUUGAGCCCCACUGAGGCAAGACAUUGGAAAAGAGAUAGAACUUGAUGGAUAGACCCCAAGGACAGGGCAGAUGAGAAGAAUCUGCACUCUCCACCCUCCCAGCAAAGCUAGACAACAAGCAAGCAGGUCUGUCUCAGCUAGAGCAGGAGCUGGGGGCUGCCAGGGGUCGGGGGGAUCCGGGAUCUCCUGGAAAUAGGUAGCCACAUUCCUGCCUUUGCACAGAUCGGAGGCUCAAGUUUACCCCCUUGCAUGCUCCAAGGGCUCCAGGCAAGCUGGAAGACUCACCCUAGUCUAGUGAGUCCCGAGGAACAAAGACCCCAGAGGAACAAAGAGAAAGCCUCCCCCACACUGGGUACCAGCUCACAUGCCAAGGUAUCCAACACAAGAAAAUGAAACACCAGGGGAGAUAGCCAAUGUCAAGAUUAGAUACUCAAGGACGUCGGCAAAAAGAACAAUCAGCUGGAGAGCAGAGAGAAGUCUCUGUCCCACUGCUUUCUAGCUGGGUGACCUUGGGUGAGUCGCCUAACCUCUCUGUGCUUCAGUUCCUCCACUGUAAAAUGAGGUGACAACAGUACCCACUUUAUUAGGGUGGUUGAGAGGACUAGAAAAAAUCAACAAUGGUAAACCACUUAGCUGAGAGCUUAGCAUGAAAAAGUUGCCCCAAAUACUAGAGUUUUUAUAAUUUUGUAUUAAUAAUUGAUGACAGUAAUGACAGUUUCUUACAAGAGGGCUCAGAGGUAAGGAGCAGAGGUCUUCAUUUAUCUUCAUUGACAGUUGAAGAAACUGAAGGCAAGAAAAAGGUCUGACUUGUGCAGGACACAGAGCUGAGGUGCAGAUGUGGCCUCUGGACAGCCCAUAUGGACCCAGGGAUCGAAUGACUCCAAGGUGCUGCAGGCAGUGACCGCUGGCAGGCUGCGGCAGCUGAAAGGCGACUGUGUCCACUGUAUCAGACCGCGAACGGGUGUGCAAGGGACGCAGGAGCAGGAGCCUGGCCUGUGCUUCCUGUGUAGCAGGGCCAAGGCCAGGGUUGGGGGCUGUCAGCCCAACUCUCCUUGUAAUGAUUUUCUGUGACCCUGCUCUACCUCCAAGCAGGUGUCCGUCCUUAGUUCUCUCUGAGUCCCCUGUGCAGCCCGUGGCAAUGCAAAUGGUGAGGACCAGACAACCAGCUGCAGACUUGUUCCCACCCUACCCACCGAUCCCAUCUCUUCCCCACGGUGGGGAAAGGGCAGCUGCACCCUGGGUUGCAUUUAACCUCCCCAAGUUCCAGGUGGACCCCCAGGCCACAUGAAGUCUCCAGUGCCAUGGCCUUUCCCUACCUGCCACGCUGGCCCUCCCCUCAGCACCCGCUGCCCCCGAGAAGUGGAGGCUGCAGCCAAGGGGCCAAGAAACAAUGAGGGGCAGCCAUUCUUGGCUUCAGAGUUCUCAGAGACCCAGGUACGACAGGUAAAGUCCAGCCCUUUGGAACUCUGAAGAGUUUCUGUUGACCGUGCCAUUAAUUCGGACACUGGCCCUGCCCAGCAACAGUAGAGUGGGACUGUCCAAUCCCCACCGCUCGCUGACCACUGAGGAACUGGGCACCUGCUGGCGUGUAACUGAUAUCAGGCCUGUUAACCUCUUUGAGCCUGUGUUGCUGCUUCUGUGAAAUGGGCACAAGGCAGCACGUGUGCAUCCGAGUGAGCAGAGUCAGAAUGAGGGGCCGGUGCUGAGCACAGUGCCAGGAUGUAGUAAGUGCUCAGUGAACACCAGCCCUGCUGCCGCUGUUACUACUGUAACUGUCACCGAGUCCCAUUCCCGCCUCAUCUAUGACAUUCCAUAUAUUCUACGAUGUCCCAAAGGACAAGGCAGCCUCAAUUUGAAGUAAUUAAGCAUCCUCCUAACAAGCUUGAAUGCAGCUCAUCACCGAGGGAUGGCUCUCUUCCCGGACAGUCCUCUCCAUGUCCCAGAUCUCAGUCAGCAACCCUUCCUUCUGCCCUCCCGUGCCUUCAAUUCAGUCAUCCUAACUCCACUACUUAAAUUCUUCUACUUAAAAUCCUACAAAAGAGAACUCAAUGCAGCUCCACCCUUCAGCCACACCCUCUUUCAUCUGUUUUAAUCCACUGGUCUUCAGCUGUACUUCAUGAUCCUACUUAGUCAUGAAUCAGUUUUGCCAGAUCCCUCUGAACAGACCUACCCACCAUUAAUUUCCCUUAAGUGUGGCUCCAAGUAUGGAGUGGAAAGUGCCAAGGAUGACGUUGGGGUUCCAGCUUGUGGUGGAUGGUGGGAACCGGUCACAGGAAGAGAGACACUGAAGGAGGACCAAGUUCAGAAGAGCAGUGCAAUCCACAAACUUGAGGAAAUGGAAGAAUUUCACACCAUGGUGGGCUAUUACAUUGUGUAACAGGCUCUGCUAACACAAGCCACAAUCACUGGAUGACCUACAGCUAGGAAUGUACUAGAGAACAUGCAAAUUACAGCCUGCACCUGCAGUUUGAGCAGGUGCCAGUUUGACGUUUCUUUGCCUCAGGAAGUUUUGCAGAGUAAAUAACAAAGCAGUUCUAAGGCUCUUCCACCCUCUGCAGAGGACACAGCCAGUGUUACAGAACAGAAUGUGGAGUGUUUUGUGUGACCGUAUCUAGCUCUAUCGCCUAGGCUGGAGUGUAGUGGCACCAUCAUAGAUCACAGCGACCUCAAACUCC
Microcebus murinus (gray mouse lemur) is the source of this 2806-nucleotide non-coding RNA. The record is from RefSeq and is a predicted model, not a curated record. NCBI's taxonomy places the organism in Eukaryota, Metazoa, Chordata, Mammalia, Primates, Cheirogaleidae.